RNAcentral lists this long non-coding RNA (1137 nucleotides) under Salmo salar (Atlantic salmon). RNAcentral describes it as "lncRNA (ENSSSAG00000097798.1)". Lineage: Eukaryota; Metazoa; Chordata; Actinopteri; Salmoniformes; Salmonidae. The record is from RNAcentral.
CUUCAUAGUUGUUUCCGCGGAUCGCAAAAAAGCAUGACACGAACUGAAUGGUUAUGUUAGAGGAUUAUCUACACAAUUAACAUAUCUUACCAAGGCCAUAGGAUGAAGGUGUGGGGCCAGGAUGGAGUUGUGGAGAGAUGGAGGUGUGGGGCCAGGAUGGAGAUGUUGAGCCAGCAUGUAGUUGUGGGGAGAUGGAGGUGUGGGGCCAGGAUGGAGUUGUGGAGAGAUGGAGGUGUGGGGCCAGGAUGGAGAUGUUGAGCCAGCAUGUAGUUGUGGGGAGAUGGAGGUGUGGGGCCAGGAUGGAGUUGUGGGGAGAUGGAGGUGUUGGGCCAGGAUGGAGGUGUGGGGCCAGGAUGGAGGUGUUGGGCCAGGGUAAAAGUGUGGGGCCAGGAUGGAGGUGUGGGGCCAGGAUGGAGUUGUGGGGCCAGGGUGGAGGUGUUGGGCCAGGAUGGAGCUGUUGGGCCAGGAUGGAGGUGUUGGGCCAGGAUGGAAGUGUGGGGCCAGGAUGGAGUUGUGGGGCCAAGAUGGAGGUGUGGGGCCAGGAUGGAGCUGUUGGGCCAGGAUGGAGGUGUUGGGCCAGGAUGGAAGUGUGGGGCCAGGAUGGAGUUGUGGGGCCAGGAUGGAGUUGUGGGGCCAGGAUGGAGGUGUUGGGCCAAGAUGGAGGUGUGGGGCCAGGAUGGAGGUGUGGGGAGAUGGAGGUGUUGGGACAGAAUGGAGGUUUGGGGCCAGGAUGAAGGUGUUGGGCCAGAAUGGAGUUGUGGGUUCAGGAUGGAGGUGUGGGGCCAGGAUGGAGGUGUGGGGCCAGGAUGGAGGUGUGGGGCCAGGAUGGAGGUGUUGGGCCAGGAUGGAGGUGUGGGGCCAGGAUGGAGGUGUGGGGUCAGGAUGAAGGUGUGGGGCCAGGAUGGAGAUGUUGGGAGAUAUCUGUCUAUUCUAUUAAACUAUUGCGAUCUAUUGUGUUACCCAGAACCACUGAUCUCUCCAUAUCUACAGUACUGUCACCCAGAACCACUGAUCUCUCCAUAUCUACAGUACUGUCACCCAGGACAGGAUAAAAGCAGGCUUAUUAUGGAGUUGUCCACAGACACAGUCUCCCAUUGUCAUUCUGCACCACCAGUAAUCUGCUAUGGUAAAGAUUAC